RNAcentral lists this ribosomal RNA (250 nucleotides) under uncultured bacterium. RNAcentral's name for it is "partial 16S ribosomal RNA". It matches the Rfam family "Bacterial small subunit ribosomal RNA", at positions 30 to 290 of the family's 1533-position model. The record is from RNAcentral.
AUUGAACGCUGGCGGCAUGCCUAACACAUGCAAGUCGAACGAGGGUAGCAAUACUCUAGUGGCGGACGGGUGAGGAACACAUAGGAAUUUGCCCUUAAGUGGGGGAUAACCCGGGGAAACCCGGAUUAAUACCGCAUGAUCUCGAGAGAGCAAAGCAGGGGACCGCAAGGCCUUGCGCUUUUGGAGAAGCCUAUGUCGGAUUAGCUUGUUGGUGAGGUAAUGGCUCACCAAGGCCGCGAUCCGUAACUGG